UACGUAGGUGGCAAGCGUUAUCCGGAAUUAUUGGGCGUAAAGGGAGCGUAGGCGGUUUGAUAAGUCUGAGGUGAAAGUUCGGGGCUCAACUCCGAAUUGCCUUAGAAACUGUCAGACUAGAGUGCAGGAGAGGGCAAUGGAAUUCCAUGUGUAGCGGUAAAAUGCGUAGAUAUAUGGAGGAACACCAGUGGCGAAGGCGGUUGCCUGGCCUGUAACUGACGCUGAGGCUCGAAAGCGUGGGGAGCAAAUAGG
This 252-nucleotide ribosomal RNA is filed under the name uncultured bacterium. Its description in RNAcentral is "partial 16S ribosomal RNA". It matches the Rfam family "Bacterial small subunit ribosomal RNA", at positions 524 to 776 of the family's 1533-position model. The record is from RNAcentral.